UUAGCCUCCUGAGUAGCUGGAAGUGUAGGCAUACACCACCACACUUGGCAAAUUCUUUCUUUCUUUUUUUUUUUUUUUGUAGAGACAGGGUCUUGCCAUGUAUCCUUCCCCUAAUUUACAGGAAGACACAGAUGUACAAAUAGAAGAAGCUCACUGAACUCCAAGUACAAUAAAAAUGGUUGAGAGGCAGAGUUUUGAAAGCAGCAAGAGAGGGAGAAAAGUGACUUGUCACAUACAGGUGAUCCUCAAUAAAAAAAUCAGUGGGUUUCUUAGUAGAAACCUUGCAGACCAAAAGACAAUGAGUUGAUAUAUUUAGAAUACUGAAAGAACACUAUCAAUCAAGAAUUUUAUAUUUGGUAAAACUCUUCAAAAAUGAGAAGUUAUGACAUUGCUAGACAAAUAAAGCCUGAGGGAGUUAAUCACUAGACCUACCCUUAAACAAAUGCUAAGGGUAAUUCUUCAUGUUGAAAUGAAAAGAUCCCAGACAGUCAAAGCCAUAUAAAAAUACAAAGUUUGCCCACAAAAGCAAAUACAUGAGCAAUUGUAAAACAAUAUCAUUAUAAUUUUAUUUGUAUCUUUACUCUGUUUCCUACAGGAUUUAAAGGCAAAUGGAGAAAUAAUAAUAAAAUCUAUGUUAAAGGAUAUACAACAUAAAAUGAUGUAAUUUUUGGCAUUUAUAACAGAGUGGGAGGAGCAUGAAUGUAAAGGGGUAGAGUUUUUGUAUGCAAUUGAAGUUUAAGUUGGUGUCAGUUUAAUAUAGAUUGUCAUAACUUUAGGUUGGCAUAAAAAAUACCCAUGGUAACAACAACAAAAAAAUUUAUAGAAUAUACACACAAGGAAAUGAGAAAUAAAAUGUGCUGCUACAAAAAAUCAGCUGAACAUGAAGGAGGAUAGUUAUGGGGAAAACAGAGGACACAAAAACUAUGACACAGAAAACAGAUAACAAAAUCCAAAGAUAUAUAUGUGCCCUGUCAGUCACUUACAUACAAGUAGAUUACAUUUUCCAAUCAAAAGACAUAGAUCACCAGAAAGGGUGUUUUUGGUUUUUUGUUUAAAUCAGGCUUCAAAAGGUUGACAAAUGUUUCUUUAGUGUGUAGCUCGUAAGCCCCAUGAAGCAACAGCUCCAUCUAGCCACCAGUAGGCAGAGGAAAGACUAUCAAUACCAUCCAUUUUCAAGAAGAUAUCCUGCUUCUGAUUUCGUGUUUGAUUUUUUUAUGUUGUAUAUUCAUAAUGAAUGAUUACUUUGAAGAUAAGCUUCUAAAACUAUCUUGAAAUCCUAUAUUUAUAUUCUUCAAAAUUAUUUAAGUAUUGGGCUAAGCACUGGGGCUCCCACCUGUAAUCCCAGCACUGUUGGAGGCCAACGCGGGAGGAUUGCUUGAACUCAAGAGUUCAAGACCAGCCUAGGCAACAUAGCAAAACCCUGUCUCUACAAAAAAAAAUCUAAAAAUUAGCCAGGUGUGGUGAUGCACAUUACUAACAUAUAUUAAACACUUAAUAUGCACUAAAUAUUUUUAUUUUAUUAUCAGAUUUAGACCCAGUAAUACUAUGAGUUGGAGACUGUCAUCCUCAUUUUAUAGAUGAGAAAAUUGAGAUACUGAGAAAUGAAAUAAUUUGCCCAAGAUCUCAAAGGUACAAAAUGAUAGAGUGGUUCCAGGUGUGUGCCGUAUUCAGUGAUGAAUAGGGAAGGAACCUGUUGAGAUGGACAGGCUAUUGUUUGGUAGGAGAUGUACUGUUAUGGAAACAGCCAGUUGAGUCAGCAUAGGCUCUGCUUAGGAGCCAUGUGGCAAGCAAUUGGCAAUGUCUAUCACUGUGUGAGUACUUGGAUUUGGAUUUGGAGAGGUACACCAAUGCCCCUGUUUUGGCUGGUGGCAUCCAGUAGAAUGAGGAAAGCCCCUUUGCUCAGGAGACUAGCUGUCACACCUACCGGUGGCACAUUCUGCCUAUCCCCACCAACUAUAGGAGUCAAGUUAUCUAUCCUGUCUCUUCUCCACAAGUGGCAGACGUAUAAAGUAUUCACAAAGAAUCUUACAGAGAACUUUGAAUAAAAAUACAUAUUAAACAAGAUAAACACAAACAUUUGAAAAAAGAAAUCAGCACUGUGAAAGAGAUGCACCCAAGUCAGCAAAACAAAGAUCCUACACUAGAGAAAGUAGGAAAGCAGUCUGUAAAGAUGGAAAUAAUAGCACCAGUCUUGGAGAUAAGAAGAUGAAAUGAAUUUUUGCAUGUAAAUAGCUUAGAACUGUGCUUGGAACAUAGUAAAUGCUCGAUAAAUAUUAGUAUAAACAAAGAGAACAAGGCUAUUUUACAUUGGCACAAUUAGAGAGGAUAUUGCAUUCAUGCAAAGAAAACAAUGAAAGAUUUUAGAAAUUAAAAAUAAAAUUGUCACAAUAAAAGACUCACUAGUUAGGAUAAAUAGCAUAGACACCAUGGAAGGCUUAAAUCUUUCAACAUUAAUACACACAACAAAUAAAAAUAAUGAGAACAUACAGAAUAUUUUAAUAACACAACUAUCAAGUUUAAUGAAUUACAUACUCUUUUUUCCAAAUACUUAUGGAAAUUUUGCAGAAAUUGAGCAUAUGCUCAAAUGUAGAAAUUUUAUUACUACAUUUUGGCAUAUACAAAAAUUAACUUUGUCAUGUGAAACAGUAUAUGGAGUGAACAAGAGAUUCUUCCCAGGGUAAAGAAUGAGAAAUUGGCUUUGAAAAGAUUAGAAACCCAUGAGCCAUGAGGUAAGUGAUUAGCAAUGUCUAAUCACCUUGAAAGGUUUGAAAAGAUUAGAAACAGAGCUCUGUCCCUAAAUAGACACUCCUUCAUGAAUGGAGUUGAUGAUGAAGUACUAUCUCUUAUUAGCUAUCAGUAUUAACUAGAUAGUUACAAUUUCUAAUAAAAUAUUAUUACAUUUAAAAUUUAUAUAUAUUGCAUUGCAGACAGUUCAGCUUUUCUCAGAUGUAGCACAGUAAUCUAGUUAGUACAGCAGUUCUUGGCACAGAAUAUAUAGCCUCUAACUAAAUAUAGGUAGUGAUAUAACCCCAAUGUCCAUUUAUAUAAGAAAAAAAUUAAGGGUUUAUAAUAUGUGUUUUCAAGAUGUAUUAAAACAGUUACUGUAAGCAAUUCCACUCCUAGAUAUAUAUUGAAGAGACUUCAAAAUAUUUGUCCACACAAAAAUUUAUAUUCAUAUGUUCAUAGCAACAUUAUUCAUAAUAGGUAAAACAUGGGAACAAUCCAAAUGUCCAUCAAGUGAUGACUAGAGAAACCAAAUGUCAUAUAUCUAUAAUAGUGAAAUAUUCAGCAAUAAAAAGGAAUGGCAUACCAUGGCACACUCACCGGGGUGGCUAUAAUUUUUUAGAGGUAGUGCUGAUGAGGAUGUGAAGAAAUGGAAAUCUUUACACAUUUUUAUACAUUGAUGUUGGAGACUU
Molecule: long non-coding RNA, 3416 nt
Organism: Sapajus apella (tufted capuchin)
Lineage: Eukaryota; Metazoa; Chordata; Mammalia; Primates; Cebidae
Exons: 2
Source: RefSeq, a predicted model, not a curated record